UGCUUAUCAGACAAAACACAACACCUUUGACUGAAGUGAAGGGGCUCCUGUUGGGAUCAUGGAAAUUAUGUUGGUGUUAUUGAAGCAAUUUGUAGACUGUGUAGAGAAAAACUAUUUGGAAAUAACAGUAUUGAGCAUGUUGAGGAGGAGAACACUAUUGAGACAAAUACAAAGAACAAGAUUGCAGAAGCUGAAAUACUACCUCCUUAAAG
This is a long non-coding RNA of Mytilus californianus (California mussel), 212 nucleotides long. RefSeq lists it as uncharacterized. NCBI's taxonomy places the organism in Eukaryota, Metazoa, Mollusca, Bivalvia, Mytilida, Mytilidae. The transcript is spliced from 3 exons. The record is from RefSeq and is a predicted model, not a curated record.